RNAcentral lists this transfer RNA (59 nucleotides) under Alectorobius cerradoensis. Its description in RNAcentral is "tRNA-Arg". The record is from RNAcentral. Lineage: Eukaryota; Metazoa; Arthropoda; Arachnida; Ixodida; Argasidae.
AAAAAUGAAGCAAACAUCGCAUUCAGUUUCGACCUGACCUUAGGAUUUCCCCAUUUUUA